This 611-nucleotide ribosomal RNA is filed under the name Nocardioides sp. mCFU61. RNAcentral's name for it is "bacterial SSU rRNA". It matches the Rfam family "Bacterial small subunit ribosomal RNA", at positions 73 to 698 of the family's 1533-position model. The record is from RNAcentral. Lineage: Bacteria; Bacillati; Actinomycetota; Actinomycetes; Propionibacteriales; Nocardioidaceae.
GGCUCCUUCGGGAGUACACGAGCGGCGAACGGGUGAGUAACACGUGAGCAAUCUGCCCUUCACUUUGGGAUAACUUCCGGAAACGGAAGCUAAUACCGAAUACGACCACUUCACGCAUGUGAUGGUGGUGGAAAGUUCCGGCGGUGAAGGAUGAGCUCGCGGCCUAUCAGCUUGUUGGUGAGGUAAUGGCUCACCAAGGCUUCGACGGGUAGCCGGCCUGAGAGGGUGACCGGCCACACUGGGACUGAGACACGGCCCAGACUCCUACGGGAGGCAGCAGUGGGGAAUAUUGGACAAUGGGCGAAAGCCUGAUCCAGCAACGCCGCGUGAGGGAUGACUGCCUUCGGGUUGUAAACCUCUUUCAGCGGGGACGAAGCGAAAGUGACGGUACCCGCAGAAGAAGCACCGGCCAACUACGUGCCAGCAGCCGCGGUAAUACGUAGGGUGCGAGCGUUGUCCGGAAUUAUUGGGCGUAAAGGGCUCGUAGGCGGUUUGUCACGUCGGGAGUGAAAACUCAGGGCUCAACCCUGAGCCUGCUUCCGAUACGGGCAGACUAGAGGUAUGCAGGGGAGAACGGAAUUCCUGGUGUAGCGGUGAAAUGCGCAGAUAUC